RNAcentral lists this unclassified non-coding RNA (284 nucleotides) under plant metagenome. Its description in RNAcentral is "partial contains small subunit ribosomal RNA, internal transcribed spacer 1, and 5.8S ribosomal RNA". The stretch from base 1 to 53 matches the Rfam family "Eukaryotic small subunit ribosomal RNA", at positions 1779 to 1831 of the family's 1831-position model. The record is from RNAcentral.
GAAGCAAAAGUCGUAACAAGGUUUCCGUAGGUGAACCUGCGGAAGGAUCAUUAUUGUAUAACCGAGGUGCGAGGGCUGUCGCUGACCCGAAAGGUCGUGCACGCCCGAGUGCCCUCACACACAUCCAUCUCACCCCUAUGUGCACCACCGCGUGGGUCCCCCUUUGGCUUGUUCGGAGGGGGGCUUACGUUUUCACACAAACUUUGUAUGCAGUGUAGAAUGUAUUUUUAGUUUCUGCGAUCACGCAAUCAAUACAACUUUCAACAACGGAUCUCUUGGCUCUC